This 1880-nucleotide long non-coding RNA is filed under the name Olea europaea subsp. europaea. The record is from RNAcentral. Lineage: Eukaryota; Viridiplantae; Streptophyta; Magnoliopsida; Lamiales; Oleaceae.
ACUAAUAUUAAUAUGCAUUUUAAUUCUUAGACAUUUCCCUUUCCAAAAAAAUUUAGUCUAAAUUAAUUAAUCGAGGGAAAAAUUGAUCUCCAAUGAUAUACAUUCUAUUCAUAGUUUCACGAAUGAUAUCAAAAAUAAAUUUAUAUGUUAUGAUUUCUAAAAUAAUAAAAUUUCAAAUAACAAUUUAAAACAUUUAUAAGCAAUAAAUUAAAAACUAUUUGUGGUGCAAAAAUGAUUGAAUCAAAUUAAAAACUAAUGGGGCCUAAACUCUAUAUUUAAUCUAAGUCUUAAGCCCAAAUGAUCCAAUAGUAACGAUUUAAAAUAGAAAAACUGAUUGCAAAUGGGCAAACAAUUUAAAAUAAUUUCAAUCGUUCAAUCAUUAUACAAGCAAUUAUACAUAAAUAUUGCUCGGUGAUUAUGCAAUCAAGAUUUAGAAAUAAUAAGCAUAUGAAUGAUCUAAAUUACUCUAAUAUCAGUUGUUGAAAUGCGGAACAAUAAUUACAUGGAAAAUAAAAAAAUAAAUCUUUAAUUCAAGAUCAUUACUAGAUGUUAACGUAUAUGUUAUAAUUAAAAAACCUAUAUUAAAGAUGUACUCAAGUUCGACAAUCCUUAAUACCAGUAAAUAAUGGGGGGAAAUUGCUUCACGGGGCAUAACCCAGUGGUAUAAAAGGAUAGGAGUGAGGUAGUCUCAACUUUGCUGGCAGUCGCAGUGUGAGAGUUUGAUUUCUAAGAUAUGAAAUUUGAGUGGGAACUAGUAUAUGGACAAGCUCUUAUUCUCUGGUCUGUUGGGACAUAUCCCUCGAAUUAACUCCCUCACGAUGCUCUAGGGGUGGGGCGGUAGGGGCCCUCAAAGUUGGGGUUCAACAUUUUUUAAAAUAAUUGGGGGAAAUAGUAAAGGGUUUGAGAAUCGAUUCUAGCAAAAAUCGAUUUGAAAAAAAGCUUAACACCUAGGCAGAACGGAUUGUUAUCCCUAAAAUAUGAAACUGAUUUGAAAAUAAAUAAAAACUAAAAUAAAUAAUGUUAUACUGUAAACCAGUAAUGAUCUAUAGAUAUAUUAGCACAUUUCAAUUUUAUGAAUGAGAAUUGGUAUUUACCCUGAUAUUGUGAAAGCAAUCCUCUUUAGUGGGCCUUUGCCUAUUUAGUAUUUACUUCCCAUUCUUUAUAUUAUCUUUGUCAUCUUUUCCUUUUUCAAUUUUUGUCGUUUGAUUAUUUUAAAUAAAACGGGUUAAUUAAUAGGAAUUCAGCAAUAAAAUUAACUAGCAAAAAGAGUAAACACAUGCAACAAAAAUGUACACAUCAAUUAUCAAGUGUAUAUUUUCCUUUAAAUAAAAUUUCAGGGAUAUUAAUUUGGGAAUUAAGGGAAAAAAAAGUUGGAAAGGUAAAAAAUAUGUAAAAUUGAAAUGUAAUCCACAUAUCUAAAUAAACAAACAUAUACCUUCCAUAUUUACUCGACAAAUUUGAGGGUUAUUCAUAAGCACAGUUAGUAUAGCACCUUUACUUUCAGGGCUUCUUUGGAUAGCACCACUGCUACUGUUUAACCAUAUCCUAAUAUCCUUCAAUAGGAGAAAACUUUAAAAGGGAAGAAGAAAAAAGUACAAGCUAAUCUCUCGAUAAUAGGGAAGAGGUUUAUCAAUUCUCCAUCAAAUAUUCCCCUUCCUCUCUCUUGCUUGCUUGGUUUGGUAAGGGUCAAAGGAAGUUCAUGGUUUGGAGUUUAUGGUAUGCCGUAUGCACAAGUGGUAUCCUUAGUAACGCAGACUCCUAGUACAAAUUAAGUACACUAGUACUAAAAUAUAUGUCAAUGGCCAGCUUAGUAACACAGAUUCAUAGUACAAAUUAAGUAAACUAGUCACUUUUCAAAAGAGUAAUUAGCACAAAAUAUC